This 780-nucleotide long non-coding RNA is filed under the name Mytilus galloprovincialis (Mediterranean mussel). Lineage: Eukaryota; Metazoa; Mollusca; Bivalvia; Mytilida; Mytilidae. The record is from RNAcentral.
AAAAAAUGUAUGUCUAUAAUUGUUGAGGAAACGAUUCAUAAAUAUACCAACACUGAUUGGCAGCUUUUUGGUACAGACUUGCUACAUCAGGUCUAUUUCAGGUCAGUAAUUAGCCUUAGAAAGUUUCGUAUUUACUGCAAAAUAUUAUACAUUUAUUUCCCGUGCCUAAGGGAGAUAUGAAGAUUUGUUUACCCAAGAAUAUUCAUAUUUCACGAGGGCUUUGGCCGAGGGAAAUAUGAUUUUUAGAGGGUGAACAAAUCUUCAUAUCUCCCGAGGCCAAGGGAAAUGAAUGUUUUAUUCCACUGCUUAAGCUUUGUAUACUAUCUGAAGUUCAAAUAUUAGUUUGCAAACCGGCAUUUUUCCCGACUAAUAUCCGCUUGUUUUGAUUACUAAACAUGACAUACACAUUGAUAAACAGUACAGAUAAACAUUAAUUAUUCGAUUAGUCUUUUUGUUUUAAAGUCUGAAAUAAAUUGGAGCAUGAUAAUGAUAUUUGCUAAAUCUAUUUAAAAAUUAAGAAGUUCGAGACGAUAUAUACAUAAACCGCACCUAACUUUGCAUGGUUUAGUCCCGACAUGCCAGAGGUGAAUAUGAAGUUUUGUUCAACGUCAUGUGUGAAGGUUUCAACCAAUCAAAUGUUGAUUUCGCUAUCGAAAUCAACAUGCAGUCGAAUAAUAUUUUUUAUUACUUUUUUUUUUUAAAUUUCUGUAGUCAUGGUAGUGAUAUUUUUACUUUUAAUGUUUGGGAUAUAACUAUAUUUUAAUAUUUGUGAAUAAAGCA